RNAcentral lists this ribosomal RNA (467 nucleotides) under uncultured bacterium. Its description in RNAcentral is "partial 16S ribosomal RNA". It matches the Rfam family "Bacterial small subunit ribosomal RNA", at positions 28 to 507 of the family's 1533-position model. The record is from RNAcentral.
GACGAACGCUGGCGGCGUGCUUAACACAUGCCAGUCGAACGGAAAGGCCUCUUUCGGGGGGUACUCGAGUGGCGAACGGGUGAGUAACACGUGAGUAACCUGCCCUUGACUUUGGGAUAACUUCAGGAAACUGGGGCUAAUACCGGAUAGGAGCUCCUGCUGCAUGGUGGGGGUUGGAAAGUUUCGGCGGUUGGGGAUGGACUCGCGGCUUAUCAGCUUGUUGGUGGGGUAGUGGCUUACCAAGGCUUUGACGGGUAGCCGGCCUGAGAGGGUGACCGGCCACAUUGGGACUGAGAUACGGCCCAGACUCCUACGGGAGGCAGCAGUGGGGAAUAUUGCACAAUGGGUGGAAGCCUGAUGCAGCAACGCCGUGUGCGGGAUGACGGCCUUCGGGUUGUAAACCGCUUUCGCCCAUGACGAAGCUUUGUGUGACGGUAGUGGGUAAAGAAGCACCGGCUAACUACGUG